Molecule: long non-coding RNA, 2440 nt
Organism: Clupea harengus (Atlantic herring)
Lineage: Eukaryota; Metazoa; Chordata; Actinopteri; Clupeiformes; Clupeidae
Source: Ensembl
UGUUGCGCCUUCAGCAAGUAAAAUAGGAAAAGAAACUUUACCACAAUUUCCUGUGCCAAACCUCUGUCUCAAAGUGUUCCUUAUUCUCAAGAACAUUCCGUGUUCCUUACUUCUGUCUGAACAGACAAUCAAAUUAUAGAAAUUACAGAAAAUGAUUGCAAGUAGAGGUUUUACAAUUGUUUUGAUAUUGUCUACAACAAGUAAGUACUGAUUUAAUGAUCUAUAAACACUAUCUUAAAUUAUACUAUCAACAUGCCCUACUGUCACAAAUAUCACAUAGAACAUCUGUAGUACCAGUUUAGUCUUUGUAGCUUCAAAAGUAAAUGUACACAAUAAGAUGCAUUUACAAUAAAAUAUACUUGCAUGUAUGCUCACUCUCUCUCUCUUAUAUAUAUUAGGGCUGUCAAUCGAUUAAAAAAAAUUAAUUAAUCGCACAUUUUGAAAUUAAUUAAUGUUGUUUAACACUGUUGUUUAAUUGUUGUUUAAUUGUAUUUUUUUUUAAAACACAAUGGUGCCCCUCGACGGUAAAUCGAUCAUCUAACCUGGGACUGCUUUCUGUCGGGUGCUUUGCAUUAAGGUGAUAACUUAAAGGCGAGCUGCUUCUGUGAUAGCUUAAUUCAGCUUGACAAAUGCUAUACAACUUUUGUUGAUUGUUCCGUCAUUUUGGCUCUUAAACAGAGACUUUCCGCCCAACAAUCCCUCAGCUCUCUCUAUCUUCAACUACCGCAGUGGUUCUCAAACUUUUUCUGUCAUUCCCCACUUUGAUUAAGGGGGGCUUUUCAAGCUCCACCUGUCCCUCAUCGCUCCCAUAAAAUGGUAGGCCAAGCUUCAAAGAAAAGAGAGGAACAGAUCAUAAACAUAACAAAAUACACAGAUACAGCGAAAGAUCAAAACCAAGUUAGGAAGAACCUCUUCUUUCCAUUUCAGCUUCUACUCCAACCUCAAAUGAAGACCUCUCGGUGGAGUAUGCAGCUUCUAUUUGUCAGGCUUUUCUCGGGGAUUGCACCCGAGAUGCUGGAUGUGGGGAACCAGCGCUUAGCCCAGUGUGCUAAUGAGAGGACCCAAUGGCAGGAUGAUGUUCUCAAUGGUUCUUUUAUUGAGAAACAAGGAUGCUUCAACAGCGAGAAACAAACACACAGAAGAUAAUCCAAACUCAGGAGAUAAUCCAAAAGCACAGAGGAUAUGAACAGGGCAAAAGGCCAUAAACUAAACAAGAUACAAAAUGUAGCUUUCACAAUAGCUACCUGAUGAAGGCUUUAAGAAGCCGAAAGCGGUUAGGGACCGCAACGAGAGACAGAAGCGGUGUGAGAACCGCAACAAGACACCAACCGGAACUAGCUAAGACUAGCGGCACCUGAGUGCGUGCGAUGGCUGCGUGUCCUUGAGGAAAGACUUCUAACGACCCGAUCAGGGCCACAGAGAUUAGCCAGGUAUUUAUACCCUGGCUAAUAGAGGGAAGUGACAAUCACAAAAACGCAAGACAGGUGAGAGCACACAAUGGGGAACAGGUGAGAACACAAAUCACAAUGGGGAACAGGUGAGGGCACACAAAGACAACAAAGGCACAUGUGGACACAAAUUAGUUCAUGAUGUCCCUUGGCCACCAGAGGCCGCCAAUGUGCCAAAUGGUUGCCCGAAGUCGUGACACUACUCCAACCUCAUAUGAAGACUUAUCAGUGGAUGACUACUAUGAGUUUUUAAGUUUUUUAGAAUACAACCAUCUAUUUAAUGACUUGACAGAACCAAGUAAGUACCUGUAUCUGAUUCACAGCACAAAUUAGCAAUAUUCAAAUUGUAAGGCUCAAGGCCCGUUUGUUUUUUUUUGUUUCUGAAAUAUACUUAUAUUAGUGGAUCCAGUGGAGCAUUUACAUAUUUGAAUGACACUAUUGCAAAGAUCUUCCCUAAAUUCUAUGAGAUGUUUUUUUUUGCUUUUUAUUGUAUAUAUAUCGUUUAAACUGAAAAUGUCAUAGCACUUUCCUUGUGCAUUUCAGCCUUUUCAAAUCCCCAUGUCAGACUGGCCAGAUGGAUGGACAGUGAUGACAAUUUCAUCGUUGGAUGUGUCCAUGAGAGUCACCUAGAAGGCUGGAUCUUCUUGAGUGUAAUAGGAGGAACAAACGUCACUGUACUUGACCCAAAUGUCACCACAGCAGCGUGAUCCUUCUUUGAUAUUACUAUGACGCCACCUGUCUCUAUCACCUGUGUACUUGAACUGCAUGGGGAAAACCUAACUAGUGAAAAGUUCACACUCCCCCAUUAUGGUGAGUCAUGGUAUACUAUGACAUAUACAGUGAAACACAACCAGUGCUUUUUGGCAGACAUGUGAGGGGUGUAUAUGGGAUGGAUUCAGCCUUGGCACUGAUAGCAGGGAGAGGUUGAGAUAUUUGUAUGUCCUCGUGAGAAGGUGAAAUCCCUCCCCCUUCUCACCAUGGCCCAAAAGGGG